UCCUCCUAAUGUGGCAUGAUGCAGAGGUUUGGAGUUGUUUUGGACUUCUUCAGGACUUCUCUUUGGCUGAGACUUAAAAGAACAUUUUAAGUCCUGAUAAGACAAAUCAUUUAAGUACCUUUAAUAAUCACAACUGUUAUAAAUGAUCAAUGAGUCAAUAAAAACAACUCCAUUAAGGUCAUCAAUAUAGUAAAGAAAUAUUGCAAAAGGGCCCAUAUGUAUCCUAAAACUCUACUUUCCUUGCACUGCAGUCUUUGUCAGAUUAUUGUCAAAUUCUCUUUCUUUCUUCUGCUAAAAGUGUGAAUGCUUGGAGGGGGAAAAAUACAUCUAGCCUAAAAAUAAAAAAAAAACAAAAAUAAAAAAUAAAAAAAACACAGGCAGUAAGCAGUUUUAAACCGGGGGAAGAGUGAGUCAGUUCAACUCAAUCUGAUGCUGUUUCAUUGUGGUUGAACACAAAAGGCCCAGGUGAUGCUCUGUAAUGCAGCACACUGUAAGCAAAAGCCAGCAGAUUGCAUUAGGGCCCCGCCUGAUGCUGUGGCCCGUCACAGAGCAAGGAUUAACUCUCCUUUAUCAGCUUUUAUCAGCUAACUGCAUGGCUGGGGCUUUUUUAACUCUCAGUCCUCUCUAUUUCUGUGUUGUCAUCUUUUUGCAAUAGAGGCAAACACUGCAGGGUUUCCAUGUAAAAGCUUUCAGCUUAAAGGCUGAUGACAGAUGUUGUAAGAGUAUGCAUUUCGGCAUCACAACAAAAGAAACACAGCCUUCAGGAGGGGGAGAUAUUUCUCAUACCGAAUAAUGCAUCGCUCAUAAAGCUUCAGCAACCAAGCAUGGACCAGGACAACAAAUGUACGGUCUGUAGGCUCAGUAUUAUCACUUCAUAUACAGCAGGGACAAACUGAUUGAAGCAGUAUAUGUUUGUGGCUUCAGGGCCUAGAUAAGUGGGAGAGAAACACAGUUGGGGAUGUUUAGGAACACAAAGUAAACCUCUGCAGUCUCUUUGCACCCUUUUAUGCAAAUGACAAAGGCAGAACCAAAAGAAGGGGUGUUGGGCAGUUGUAGGCGGAAGGGGAGAGGGGGAGCCCUUAUCUCUCACAGAAGAAAUAAUAAGGAGACGACCAGCAAACAGCCAAAAUCAAAGAACUGCCUCCUUACAGAAGAUGAGGACAAUGGCAGACAAAAAGAGGCGUUACCAGCUCAGCCUGCCGCCGCCUGCUGUUGCGACUCUUUUCAGACCGGUGCGCAGGAAGGUUGCAGGAACAGAGGUGACACACAGGGAUUUUAGGAGGAACAUUACGACCACACUGCACCUCCAGCGGUCUGCCGGUCCAGGAGGAGAACAAAUCGACGUCACUAAACAAGGCUACAUCCAUCCAUGGAGGUCUGACCGGACACAUCCCUCCUGAGGUGUCCGAGCUGCUGCCUGACCCAGCCCGCCUCACAGAAAACGAGGAGCCCGGUGAUAUUUUUCCACACUGUAUCAGACUAUAAAGAUAUUAAGUAUAUUAUUGCAUUCACUCGUAUGUAGAUAGCAGCUGACAAGGUUUAAACACAGACAGACAAUGUCGUGUUAAAUAUAAUAUAUUUUUAUUAGAAGAUAAUUUAGUACAUUAAGGAGAAUUCCUCUGAAAAUGUCAUGUCUUCUUUUCCUGAGUAGCUAUGUUUCUUUUUUGCCAUGUGAUGAGGUUUUUAAACUUUAUUUAGGCAAGGCAGGUACUAGUGUGUGUAAAAUAUAUAUAUGUAUAUAUAUAUUAGUAUGUUAAAAAAAACAAACAAACAUCAGAAACAUGUAAGAUGAAGGGGUAAGAAAACAGAGAAUGCAGAAGGCAUAGGGGAAAUAGCCAAGGGAAAUAUGCACAUUUUACCUUGAAUCCCGAUUUAAGUCACAAAUUUGAUAUGAAAAAUACAACAACAACCUGACAACCUCACAGCUUGUGAGCAUCAGACUGGAACACAGACAUUAACAGUGUAGCAUCGUGUAUGCAAAACAAGCCCCAGGGGAGAACCUCAGUAUUGCCCAAACCCAUCUUUAUCUGAUUCAGUUCCCGGCAGUAUCCUCGCCCUGUGGCCACAAACCAUUACUGGAAGGAACUUGUUCUUCUUGUUUGGCCUAACUCUCUUUUAGGCCUUCAGUAUCACAAUUGUGAAAUUGAAAAAUGAAAAAUGGGAAGCGGUAGGACUCAGUUUCGUUUAGUAAAUAUCUAAGUGCAUGAAGUGUAACGACAGCAAGAACUCAUAGUUGAGAACAGCAGAGGAUGUGCUCCCUCAGGUAAUGUUUUUGGUUGACAUGAAAAGAAUGUGAAGUAAGCUAUUAAAGUAGACUAAUAAAAUCCUAAAAUCAGACCUACAACUUAUAAUUUAUCUAAAGCACCUUAGUGUUCACAGAUUCACAACCACCUAAUUUCUACUGCAACAUAAUGUCAUGGCAUGGCUUUGGUAAACUGACAACAUGACAUUGACAGUACUAGGGAUGCACCAAUCAAACUUUUCUCUCUCCCGUUAUCUACUGAUGCCGAUCCAAUUCCACUGCUUUCUUUUUCCCCAAAUUUAAAAUGUGUAUACCUCACUGCAUAAAAUUUAUUGGAAUCGUUUUCAUGUAAGGUAAGGAGUGAGUUGGCUGCAUGCCAUGACUUAACAAAUCUAACCGAUAACAGAAAAACUGAAUUUUAUAAUGACAUUGACCAAAAAAAAACCAAAAAAACAGUAUUGUCUUGGCCAAUACCUGAUCCGCUUAAUAAGAUCAAUAUCAGGGCCGAUACUAAUCUGGUGUAUUGGAUUGGUGCAUCCCUAAUAGUACUACAAAGAAAAUUAUAGGAGCAUGUUCAGAUCUAUCAAUUUAUUCUCAGUAUCAUGUAGACAUGAAAUCCUUUACAAAAGUAAAUAAUCAAAUUACUUUCAAGAAUCUCAAACAACACAAACCCUUUAGCAGCAUGGUCAUGGAUGUAGCAGAUAUUUUUAUCAACUAUUAAAAGGUUUGUUGGGAAAACAGUAAUAAAUUAUCAAUCUGACCUGUGUGUGUUUUGUAACAAGAGAAAACAUGCCUAACCUUUUACUGCAAGUGUGUUGAGUAAACAGCGGAUACUAUCA
This is a long non-coding RNA of Siniperca chuatsi (mandarin fish), 3081 nucleotides long. RefSeq lists it as uncharacterized. Lineage: Eukaryota; Metazoa; Chordata; Actinopteri; Centrarchiformes; Sinipercidae. The transcript is spliced from 2 exons. The record is from RefSeq and is a predicted model, not a curated record.